This 2676-nucleotide long non-coding RNA is filed under the name Nicotiana benthamiana. RNAcentral describes it as "long non-coding RNA (NBEN_LNC015682)". The record is from RNAcentral. Lineage: Eukaryota; Viridiplantae; Streptophyta; Magnoliopsida; Solanales; Solanaceae.
CUCAAAGUAAUUGUCGCAUUUUGAUAUACCAAAUACCCCCAAACCCCUAGAUUAGCCUCAUUCACACACCCCCAUCAUCACUUUCGUCUCUCUCAAGAGACCAAACACCCAAGAACCCUAGCUAGCCGCCACCCCUCCCCUCGCCUGAAAACCCGGUGACUACGGCUCCUUUCACCACCAAAUCAACACCCCUGAACAACCUAAAUCCCCUCUCCAUGAAUCUAUGGUUGUCUAACUUCGAAUCAUCCUCAGUGUUCUCGAAUCUUCAAUCAAUGAUUCGAGGCGAAUACCAAACCAUCCCAACCAAGCCCAAACUCACACCAUAGCCUUCCCUAGCCUCCCUCAUCACCAAACCAUCGUCGGUUAGGUUUGAAUCAAACCUAAACCACUCAAAUCCCAAAUCCGAGCCCAAGAAUCCUAGAAAGUUCGAGGCUGGAUUUCUGUCCUGAUUGAAGGUUUUGGGGUGUUCAAGGGACCUUAGUCGAAGUGUUCUCAAUUGAGAACACUCGAUUAAGGCCCGUUUGACCUCAAGAGUUUCAUGUCCGAAAAAUGGUCCUAAGACGUUUGAUUUCUGAUUCUUCUUCUAAGGUAUUUCUUUCUUCUUUUUCUUCUAUUUUUUGAUUAAUAUCCAUUAUUUAGUUUAGUUUUGCUAUUUUUUGAUCUUUUUGAUUUUUUUAUCAACUGUUCUCUUCUUCUCCAAAUUAAAGACCUUUUAUUUGGUCGAUUUUUUUAUGUUUUUGUUGGUUGUAGCCAUUGUAAACUACAUAUUCGACUCGAUUAAUAUCGUUGAAUCAUUAGUUUCGUAUUUUUCCUGUUUGCCUGAAUGCUAUAAAUCGCAUUGUGUUGUGUCGAUUAUUUAUUAUCUAUUAUAUGUGUUGUAAUCGAUUUAAUAAAUAUCGUCGAUUAGUUGUAUAUGUAUGUUUGUUAGAACAAUGUUUGUGUCCGAAUCUUUGUUUUGAAUUAAGGUCUGAAUUAGUUAUAGCUGAAAUUAGGAAUUUGAAUUGGUUAUAGCUGUAAUUGUAAUAGAAUUUUCAGAGUUUAGUCUAAGUGGGCUUUCAGUCGAGCAUGUGUUGGGCCAUUAGAUGAAUUUAAUGAUAAAAAAGGUAGAAAACCACAUGAGAAAGGAAUAAAAACAGGCUAAUUAAAGGCUAAGGACAGUGCAGUAAUAACAAUAGGAUUACAGGGGUAUUUGGUAUUGAAAAAUGGUCAGAAUUGACUAUAUUAAUGAUCUGAUAGUCAAACACCAAUAAGACAAAAGCUUAUACAUUAGUUUAAUGUUAGUGGGUAACAAACCCUUAUAUCAUGCCUUGAUUUAGGGAAGAAAAUAAGGAAAAGCCUUCCUUAGUGGGAUUUAGUUAAAAAUAGGCAAGUUUUCUUGGGGUGGUUGGUCAGGUAAGUGAAGUUUUUCAAAGGAGGGUAGGUCUAGGAGGUUACGAUAAAUACAGAGAGUUGAGGAGUAAUUAGGGAUUGAAUUUUGAACAUUAGAAGUUCAGUAUUAGGAGAGCUGAAAAUUUAGAACUGGAGUUUUGAGAGAGAGAUUUAGAAGUUAAGAGUGAAGACUGGAAUUUUUAGGGAAAAAGGUCUAGAGUUUCAUAGAGAGUUUGACUGAGAUUUCUUUCAAGUUUCAGUUUCUUUGUUUUCCUGGAGUGUUCACUAGCAGAAAUAUUACCUUCCUUGCACCUGUCUCGCUUUCAAUUUAACUGUGAGUGCAUCCUGUGUACUACUGAGAGCUUAGUGUAACAUAUCCUGGGUCUUCUAUUUGGUAUUCAUCUUCUAGAGUUCCUACAGUUCCUGGUGGGGCUGAGUUAGUCUUUGAUAGGCCCAUACUGUUAUUCAUUUGGUUUCCUGGGCUAUUUUCUGUUUGAUUUUCAAUCUGCUACUGAGAUUCUUGCUAUUUGGUUUCACUAGUUCAUUGUUGUUGCUGCUGAAUCUGUUGCUGGGUUAAGUGCUACUGCCAUUACUGAUCUUCAUCUCCUUUCUUGCUUUUCCCAAAUUGCAGGUACACACAAUUGAUAUACUAGUUCAAUGUAUUUGAAAUGAGAAGCAUGAAUAAAAAGAUAAAGCUUUAAAGCUUAAAGUCUUUUUGAUGUAUCUGUACAUUAUGAGUUGUAUAUAUAUGUUAGUUUUUAGUUCAUUAGGUUCAUGUCAUUAGUUGUCAUGUAAAGCUGAAUAACAAAUCUGUAUAGUCUAAUUAGUAGACUCUUUCCUCGUAUGCCAGUUUUAAAAAAAGGGAUUGUGAUACUGUAGUUCAUUGUUGUCAUUUCCGGUCUAUUUCAUUUAAAAGUAGGAACAAAUGCCAGGUAUUAAAGAAUAAGUAGUUCAAAUUAAUUACAGUGAUAGAUGCAUAAUUAAGCUGGCAAAAACUUAUGUAAUUAGACAGCUUUCUCAUCUUUCUGUUUUCUUAAUAGCUUGAACGUGUAUAGCCUACUGCAGCUAGGCUUAAAAGGAAUUCAUAAUUAAAUGGCCCAGGCCCCGACUUUGUACCUCACGUUGGGCUUGGGCCCAAGCUUUUAACACCGCCUUCCUUAACCCCCUCUAAGCAUGUAAAUAAUAUAGGAUUUUGUUUCUUUUUCUUUUUAUUUAUUUAGAGAUGCAACGAAAUAGAAAACGUAGUCGCUUUAGGAUAUCCUUUAAAAUAAAAUAAUAUUUGCCUCACCCAAAUAAAUUACAAAUUAC